Molecule: long non-coding RNA, 541 nt
Organism: Pongo pygmaeus (Bornean orangutan)
Lineage: Eukaryota; Metazoa; Chordata; Mammalia; Primates; Hominidae
Exons: 3
Source: RefSeq, a predicted model, not a curated record
GUUACAGCACAUUUCCAGUGUGUUACAGUCUCUCUGGUCAAGGAGGCUGUGAAUUAAUCUGGCGCUGGCUGCUGCUCACUACAGCAGCAUUCACAAUGUGGCUAAAGAGGAUUUGCAAGAUACGCUUACUUGUCCUCUGUUUCAGAGAAGACCUCCUCUGUCAUUAGCUGGGUGGCACUGAACAAGCUACCCAGGAUGCCAAGGCUUAGUUGCCUCCUCUGAAAUGAUUGACAGAAGGAACAAUCUCCUAACCAUCUAUGGAAAGACUAAUCUUAUCUCACAGAGUCGUAGCACCUUCAGGGUAGAAGAUACAACACGCUUUGUUCUACAAAUGAGGAAAGUGAGGCCUAGGAGCUGUGCGUGCAGCCAAGCAGUGAGAAAGACCAAACUACACCUCCCAUCAAAUCAGAGUCAGUCAAUAAUGAUUUAAACCAAAAAGAAGUAUUGUCUGGGGAAACAGAAAAAUAAAAUUCACUCUCAGAAAUAUAAAUCACAAGUUGAAUGACAAACUUUUAUCACCAAUAAAAGAUUAAGAAAAAUA